This 683-nucleotide long non-coding RNA is filed under the name Anas platyrhynchos platyrhynchos (common mallard). RNAcentral's name for it is "lncRNA (ENSAPLG00000017573.1)". Lineage: Eukaryota; Metazoa; Chordata; Aves; Anseriformes; Anatidae. The record is from RNAcentral.
AUGACAGUCAGAGCUGCUGACGAAGUUGCUAGAGAGAAAGAGUUCUUCAAUUUAGAAUUCUGCUAUUUCUUGGCUUGGCUCACUGUCAGCCCAUUUCCAAAAAAAUCUUUGCAACAUGGAAGAAUUUUCCUGGAGAAAUUUUCAGCUGCUACAAGGAAAACAGAUUGAAGAGUUCAUGAAAAUAUAGUUCUCUUGGUCCUACCACCUUCUCCAUCAUCGCCAAGUGCCUCCAAACUACUUUCUGUGCCUUAAAUCCCACUGACAGUGGUGAUGUGCUCCCAGUGACCAUAGCAAGAAGUCCUGGAUCCUGGCCUCUACCAGGUCAGCUCUCGCAGCAGCUUAGGGCAGCAUCCAGAUGGCUGCAGACACACAUGUGUGGUUACAGGGUUCCUUCUGAGGAUUAGCAAAGGGUACGGUGUGGCUCUUUUCAAAUAUUUGAACUGUUCGGCAAAGAAAUUGCAGAAAACAAUAGAAAAUACCAAAUUAGAAAAUACCAAACCCAAGGAAGUCAUGCGCAUAUCUGGGUGUAUCAGGUAAGCUGGCAUUGCAGUUACAAUCUGCAGUUAUUUCCUAAGCAAACAACCCUUGCGUUACCUAUUUGUUCUGUACUUGGUUUUCAGUUAUUGACUUGCAUUUGAAAUAUGGCAAUUAAAGUAAUUUUCACAUAUGUUCAUAGGACUUUC